UUUUUUUUUCUCUUGGUUUGUGCCAACAGAUGGCAUAUCUCCUCAUUCUGCAUGGAUUUUGUCCACCUAACUCUCAGAGGGAAGUCUUCCAGCUUAACGGUCACUCCCACAUAUGGCUGACAGGGUCCCCAAGACUUGGUCCACAAUUGCAGUCAGUUCAUCCCAAAGCUCCUGGGUCCUUUGAGUCAUGUGCAUGCUUGGCCAGAGCUGGACCACCGCUCUCAGAGCCAGGACAACUAUGGUGGCCAUCGUGGGAAC
RNAcentral lists this long non-coding RNA (258 nucleotides) under Ictidomys tridecemlineatus (thirteen-lined ground squirrel). RNAcentral's name for it is "lncRNA (ENSSTOG00000032514.1)". The record is from RNAcentral. Lineage: Eukaryota; Metazoa; Chordata; Mammalia; Rodentia; Sciuridae.